CAGGCAUGCUGAGCUCCGCAGCGGCGCCUGGGAUUGUUGGUCCCGACACCGUGACUAAACACGGAGCUUGA
Molecule: non-coding RNA, 71 nt
Filed under: Pseudorhizobium banfieldiae
Lineage: Bacteria; Pseudomonadati; Pseudomonadota; Alphaproteobacteria; Hyphomicrobiales; Rhizobiaceae
Description: Rhizobium sp. NT-26 ybhL
Rfam family: ybhL leader
About the family: This family is a putative regulatory RNA structure that is found upstream of an uncharacterized membrane protein in alpha-proteobacteria.
Source: RNAcentral